This 504-nucleotide ribosomal RNA is filed under the name uncultured bacterium. RNAcentral's name for it is "bacterial SSU rRNA". It matches the Rfam family "Bacterial small subunit ribosomal RNA", at positions 355 to 874 of the family's 1533-position model. The record is from RNAcentral.
UGGGGAAUCUUGGACAAUGGGGGCAACCCUGAUCCAGCCAUGCCGCGUGAGUGAUGAAGGCCUUAGGGUCGUAAAGCUCUUUCGCCUGUGAAGAUAAUGACGGUAGCAGGUAAAGAAACCCCGGCUAACUCCGUGCCAGCAGCCGCGGUAAUACGGAGGGGGUUAGCGUUGUUCGGAAUUACUGGGCGUAAAGCGCACGUAGGCGGACCAGAAAGUUGGGGGUGAAAUCCCGGGGGCUCAACCCCGGAACUGCCUCCAAAACUAUUGGUCUAGAGUUCGAGAGAGGUGAGUGGAAUUCCAAGUGUAGAGGUGAAAUUCGUAGAUAUUUGGAGGAACACCAGUGGCGAAGGCGGCUCACUGGCUCGAUACUGACGCUGAGGUGCGAAAGUGUGGGGAGCAAAACAGGAUUAGAUACCCUGGUAGUCCACACCGUAAAACGAUGAAUGCCAGUCGUCGGGUAGCAUGCUAUUCGGUGACACACCUAACGGAUUAAGCAUUCCGCCU